CAGCUUAGACUUCGGUCUUUGCAAUUGCUUGGGUGUCGAAAGGCGCCCAAUCUUUAAAACUUUUAUAUUUGUUCUGAAACAAUGAAAAUUUAAAACUUUCAACAACGGAUCUCUUGGUUCUCGUAUCGAUGAAGAACGCAGCAAAGCGCGAUAGGUAAUGCGAAUUGCAGACGUGAGUCAUUGAAUUUUUGAACGCAUAUUGCGCUAUUAGUUUGUCUAAUAGCAUGCUUGUUGGAGUGAUAAUCUUCCUCUCAACCAUUUUUGGUAUGAGGUCUUGCUCCUUUUAGGAGUUAAAAUCAUGGAAGUGCACACGUUAAUUAACUCUGUGCAGUUAUACACUUUUCAUCCUCCAAUCAAGCAAGGUUACCCGCUGAACUUAAGCAUAUCAAUAGCGGAGGA
This 399-nucleotide ribosomal RNA is filed under the name Starmerella aff. zemplinina Cz10. RNAcentral's name for it is "eukaryotic LSU rRNA". The stretch from base 94 to 242 matches the Rfam family "5.8S ribosomal RNA". The record is from RNAcentral. Lineage: Eukaryota; Fungi; Ascomycota; Dipodascomycetes; Dipodascales; Trichomonascaceae.